Molecule: ribosomal RNA, 301 nt
Filed under: uncultured bacterium
Lineage: Bacteria
Description: partial 16S ribosomal RNA
Rfam family: Bacterial small subunit ribosomal RNA
Source: RNAcentral
CAGCAGCCACGGGAAUACGUAGGUGGCAAGCGUUGUCCGGAAUUAUUGGACGUAAAGGGCUCGCAGGCGGUUUCUUAAGUCUGAUGUGAAAGCCCCAGGCUCAACCGGGGAGGGUCAUUGGAAACUGGGAAACUUGAGUGCAGAAGAGGAGAGUGGAAUUCCACGUGUAGCGGUGAAAUGCGUAGAGAUGUGGAGGAACACCAGUGGCGAAGGCGACUCUCUGGUCUGUAACUGACGCUGAGGAGCGAAAGCGUGGGGAGCGAACAGGAUUAGAUACCCGAGUAGUCCCUGUCUCUUAUAC